GAUGAACGCUAGCGGCAGGCCUAACACAUGCAAGUCGAGGGGGAAGUUACUUUCGGGUGACUGAGACCGGCGUACGGGUGCGUAACGCGUAUACAAUCUGCCUUUCACUGGGGGAUAGCCCGAAGAAAUUUGGAUUAAUACCCCAUAGUAUAUAGGGACGGCAUCGUUUUUAUAUUAAAGCUUAGGUGGUGAAAGAUGAGUAUGCGUUCUAUUAGCUAGUUGGAGGGGUAACGGCUCCCCAAGGCGAUGAUAGAUAGGGGUUCUGAGAGGGAUGUCCCCCACACUGGUACUGAGAUACGGACCAGACUCCUACGGGCGGCAGCAGUGAGGAAUAUAGGACACUGGUCGGAAGACUGAUCCAGCCAUGCCGCGUGCAGGAUGAAGGUCUUAUGGAUUGUAAACUGCUUUUGUAAGGGAAGAAUAAGGGCUACGCGUAGUUUGAUGACGGUACCUUACGAAUAAGCAUCGGCUAACUCCGUG
RNAcentral lists this ribosomal RNA (480 nucleotides) under uncultured bacterium. Its description in RNAcentral is "partial 16S ribosomal RNA". It matches the Rfam family "Bacterial small subunit ribosomal RNA", at positions 28 to 507 of the family's 1533-position model. The record is from RNAcentral.